UGGGGAAUAUUGCGCAAUGGGCGAAAGCCUGACGCAGCCACGCCGCGUGAGCGAUGAAGGUUUUCGGAUCGUAAAGCUCUGUGGGGGGAGAAGAAAAAGGCAGUUGAAGAGGCUGUCAUGACGGUAUCCCCUUAGCAAGCACCGGCUAACUCCGUGCCAGCAGCCGCGGUAAUACGGAGGGUGCAAACGUUGCUCGGAAUCAUUGGGCGUAAAGCGCGCGUAGGCGGUUUGUCAAGUUGGAUGUGAAAGCCCUGGGCUCAACCCGGGAAGUGCAUCCAAAACUGUCAGACUUGAAUCUCGGAGGGGGUCAGAGAAUUCCCGGUGUAGAGGUGAAAUUCGUAGAUAUCGGGAGGAAUACCAGUGGCGAAGGCGCUGACCUGGACGAAGAUUGACGCUGAGGCGCGAAAGCGUGGGUAGCAAACAGGAUUAGAUACCCCCGUAGUCC
Molecule: ribosomal RNA, 445 nt
Filed under: uncultured prokaryote
Description: bacterial SSU rRNA
Rfam family: Bacterial small subunit ribosomal RNA
Source: RNAcentral